This 287-nucleotide ribosomal RNA is filed under the name uncultured bacterium. Its description in RNAcentral is "partial 16S ribosomal RNA". It matches the Rfam family "Bacterial small subunit ribosomal RNA", at positions 773 to 1060 of the family's 1533-position model. The record is from RNAcentral.
GUGGAUUAGAUACCCUGGUAGUCCAUGCCGUAAACGUUGGGCGCUAGAUGUGGGGACCAUUCCACGGUUUCCGUGUCGUAGCUAACGCAUUAAGCGCCCCGCCUGGGGAGUACGGCCGCAAGGCUAAAACUCAAAGGAAUUGACGGGGGCCCGCACAAGCGGCGGAGCAUGCGGAUUAAUUCGAUGCAACGCGAAGAACCUUACCAAGGCUUGACAUAUACCGGAAACGUUCAGAAAUGUUCGCCCCGCAAGGUCGGUAUACAGGUGGUGCACGGCCGUCGACAGCU